AUACUUGUGGGGCAGGGGAGAUACCAUGACCAGGAAGUAGUUUCACAGGGUGAGGCUUAUCCAUUGCACUCUGAUGUGCUGACCCCGGUGAUUUCUCCAAAUAUGGGAAACUCAGCUGCAUAAUUUGCAGUAGUGGGGGGCUGUGUUAGCUCUUUCACCUG
Small nuclear RNA from Octodon degus (degu), 161 nucleotides. Its record names the gene U1. It matches the Rfam family "U1 spliceosomal RNA". From Rfam's summary of the family: U1 is a small nuclear RNA (snRNA) component of the spliceosome (involved in pre-mRNA splicing). Its 5' end forms complementary base pairs with the 5' splice junction, thus defining the 5' donor site of an intron. There are significant differences in sequence and secondary structure between metazoan and yeast U1 snRNAs, the latter being much longer (568 nucleotides as compared to 164 nucleotides in human). NCBI's taxonomy places the organism in Eukaryota, Metazoa, Chordata, Mammalia, Rodentia, Octodontidae. The record is from Ensembl.